AUUGAACGCUGGCGGCAUGCUUUACACAUGCAAGUCGAACGGUAACAGGUCUUCGGAUGCUGACGAGUGGCGAACGGGUGAGUAAUGCAUCGGAACGUGCCCAAUCGUGGGGGAUAACGUAGCGAAAGUUACGCUAAUACCGCAUAAGCCCUGAGGGGGAAAGUGGGGGACCGCAAGGCCUCACGCGAAUGGAGCGGCCGAUGUCAGAUUAGCUAGUUGGUGGGGUAAAGGCCCACCAAGGCGACGAUCUGUAGCGGGUCUGAGAGGAUGAUCCGCCACACUGGGACUGAGACACGGCCCAGACUCCUACGGGAGGCAGCAGUGGGGAAUUUUGGACAAUGGGCGCAAGCCUGAUCCAGCCAUGCCGCGUGCGGGACGAAGGCC
This 384-nucleotide ribosomal RNA is filed under the name uncultured bacterium. Its description in RNAcentral is "bacterial SSU rRNA". It matches the Rfam family "Bacterial small subunit ribosomal RNA", at positions 29 to 416 of the family's 1533-position model. The record is from RNAcentral.